This is a long non-coding RNA of Aedes aegypti (yellow fever mosquito), 295 nucleotides long. RefSeq lists it as uncharacterized. Lineage: Eukaryota; Metazoa; Arthropoda; Insecta; Diptera; Culicidae. The record is from RefSeq and is a predicted model, not a curated record. The transcript is spliced from 2 exons.
UGCGUCGUAAAGUGUUUUCUUUUUGCGUUCACGUUGGUGAAAAUAAAAUGCAAUUUCUCAGUGAUUUCGGAAAGUUGUGAAGUAAAAUAAUGAUAAAAUUAAGAAAAAAUCAAAUAAAAAGUAAACUUUUUGCUCGAAGCAAACGCUGGGAGUUGCAUUGGAUAAAUUUCAUCGGUGGAAGAAAAGAGUUCCAUUUUGUCUUCGGUUUUUCCGAGGCGGAGGAAUAAAAGUGCCAGGUUGCUGCCGAAAAGUGGAAAAUAGUGACGACGGAACUGACUGGUGAUUGAGGAGCAGA